RNAcentral lists this ribosomal RNA (447 nucleotides) under uncultured bacterium. Its description in RNAcentral is "bacterial SSU rRNA". It matches the Rfam family "Bacterial small subunit ribosomal RNA", at positions 355 to 825 of the family's 1533-position model. The record is from RNAcentral.
UGGGGAAUAUUGGACAAUGGGGGAAACCCUGAUCCAGCCAUGCCGCGUGAGUGACGAAGGUCUUCGGAUUGUAAAGCUCUUUUAGCAGGGAAGAUAAUGACGGUACCUGCAGAAUAAGCCCCGGCUAACUUCGUGCCAGCAGCCGCGGUAAUACGAAGGGGGCUAGCGUUGUUCGGAAUUACUGGGCGUAAAGCGCACGUAGGCGGAUUGAUAAGUUAGGGGUGAAAUCCCGGGGCUCAACCUCGGAACUGCCUUUGAUACUGUUAGUCUCGAGUCCGAUAGAGGUGAGUGGAAUUCCUAGUGUAGAGGUGAAAUUCGUAGAUAUUAGGAAGAACACCAGUGGCGAAGGCGGCUAACUGGUCCGGUACUGACGCUGAGGUGCGAAAGCGUGGGGAGCAAACAGGAUUAGAUACCCACGUAGUCCCUGAGCGGGCUGGCAAGGCGCAU